CAGCCGCCGCGGGAAUACGUAGGUGGCAAGCGUUGUUCGGAUUUACUGGGCGUAAAGCGCACGUAGGCGGAUCCUUAAGUCAGAGGUGAAAUCCCAAGGCUCAACCUUGGAACUGCCUUUGAUACUGGGGAUCUCGAGUCCGGGAGAGGUGAGUGGAACUGCGAGUGUAGAGGUGAAAUUCGUAGAUAUUCGCAAGAACACCAGUGGCGAAGGCGGCUCACUGGCCCGAUACUGACGCUGAGGUGCGAAAGCGUGGGGAGCAAACAGGAUUAGAUACCCCCGUAGUCCCUGUCUCUUAUAC
RNAcentral lists this ribosomal RNA (301 nucleotides) under uncultured bacterium. RNAcentral's name for it is "partial 16S ribosomal RNA". It matches the Rfam family "Bacterial small subunit ribosomal RNA", at positions 509 to 807 of the family's 1533-position model. The record is from RNAcentral.